UAGGGAAUCUUCGGCAAUGGGGGGAACCCUGACCGAGCAACGCCGCGUGAGUGAAGAAGGUUUUCGGAUCGUAAAGCUCUGUUGUUAAGGAAGAACGAGUGUGAGAAUGGAAAGUUCAUACUGUGACGGUACUUAACCAGAAAGGGACGGCUAACUACGUACCAGCAGCCGCGGUAAUACGUAGGUCCCGAGCGUUGUCCGGAUUUAUUGGGCGUAAAGCGAGCGCAGGCGGUUAGAAAAGUCUGAAGUGAAAGGCAGUGGCUCAACCAUUGUAGGCUUUGGAAACUGUUUAACUUGAGUGCAGAAGGGGAGAGUGGAAUUCCAUGUGUAGCGGUGAAAUGCGUAGAUAUAUGGAGGAACACCGGUGGCGAAAGCGGCUCUCUGGUCUGUAACUGACGCUGAGGCUCGAAAGCGUGGGGAGCGAACAGG
This 429-nucleotide ribosomal RNA is filed under the name Bacteroidota bacterium. RNAcentral describes it as "Bacteroidetes bacterium partial 16S ribosomal RNA". It matches the Rfam family "Bacterial small subunit ribosomal RNA", at positions 355 to 776 of the family's 1533-position model. The record is from RNAcentral. Lineage: Bacteria; Pseudomonadati; Bacteroidota.